UACAUGGGGUGCAAACGUUGCUCGGAAUCAUUGGGCGUAAAGCGCGCGUAGGCGGUUACUUAAGUCGGAUGUGAAAGCCCUCGGCUUAACUGAGGAAGUGCAUCCGAAACUGAGUAGCUGGAGUACGAAAGAGGGUCGCGGAAUUCCCGGUGUAGAGGUGAAAUUCGUAGAUAUCGGGAGGAACACCGGUGGCGAAGGCGGCGACCUGGGCCGAUAUUGACGCUGAGGAGCGAAAGCGUGGGGAGCGAACAGG
Molecule: ribosomal RNA, 253 nt
Filed under: uncultured bacterium
Lineage: Bacteria
Description: partial 16S ribosomal RNA
Rfam family: Bacterial small subunit ribosomal RNA
Source: RNAcentral